RNAcentral lists this ribosomal RNA (367 nucleotides) under uncultured bacterium. RNAcentral's name for it is "bacterial SSU rRNA". It matches the Rfam family "Bacterial small subunit ribosomal RNA", at positions 29 to 421 of the family's 1533-position model. The record is from RNAcentral.
AACGAACGCUGGCGGCAGGCCUCAAACAUGCAAGUCUAGGGGGUGCAGCAAUGCAUCACCGGCGGACGGGUGCGUAACGCGUGGGAAUAUACCUUUUGGUUUCGGAACAACUGCGGGAAACUGCAGCUAAUACCGAAUGUGCCCUAACGGGGAAAGAUUUAUCGCCAAAGGAUUAGCCCGCGUAGGAUUAGCUAGUUGGUGAGGUAAUGGCUCACCAAGGCUCCGAUCCUUAGCNGUUCUGAGAGGAAGAUCAGCCACACUGGGACUGAGACACGGCCCAGACUCCUACGGGAGGCAGCAGUUGGGAAUCUUGGACAAUGGGGAAACCCUGAUCCAGCCAUGCCGCGUGAGUGAUGAAGGCCUUCGG